RNAcentral lists this small nucleolar RNA (106 nucleotides) under Olea europaea subsp. europaea. RNAcentral describes it as "Plant small nucleolar RNA R71". It matches the Rfam family "Plant small nucleolar RNA R71". Rfam says of the family: R71 is a member of the C/D box family of snoRNAs containing the C (UGAUGA) and D (CUGA) box motifs. Multiple nearly identical copies of this snoRNA have been identified in Arabidopsis, and it is thought to function as a 2'-O-ribose methylation guide for 18S ribosomal RNA. The record is from Rfam by way of RNAcentral. Lineage: Eukaryota; Viridiplantae; Streptophyta; Magnoliopsida; Lamiales; Oleaceae.
AAUCCAUGUUGUGGGCAUUGGUGAAGUAAACCCUUGUAUCAUUCUCAAGUCUCUAAAUAGCAUUCUGAAUCCAUUUACUAAAAUGUAGUGAUCUCGUCCUUAGUUU